This 199-nucleotide ribosomal RNA is filed under the name uncultured bacterium. RNAcentral's name for it is "partial 16S ribosomal RNA". It matches the Rfam family "Bacterial small subunit ribosomal RNA", at positions 1302 to 1500 of the family's 1533-position model. The record is from RNAcentral.
UGGCUGCAACUCGCCUGUAUGAAGUCGGAAUUGCUAGUAAUCGUGGAUCAGCAUGCCACGGUGAAUACGUUCCCGGGCCUUGUACACACCGCCCGUCACACCAUGGGAGCCGGAAAUGCCCGAAGCCAGUGACCCAACCUUAGGGAGGGGGCUGUCGAAGGUGGAGCCGGUAACUGGGGUGAAGUCGUAACAAGGUAAC